GGAUGUGAGGGAGAUCUUGCUGCAACAUGUCAUCCCACUGACUGCCAAGGUUGAUCUGGUUAAUCUGCUUGUCUAAGUGGAUGUCCCCUUUCUCCCUCAUCUCCUAAUAUGCAUCCCUAUGAAGCUGUAUGCAUGGUUACAGAUCUUCCUCAAUGGAGAAGGACUGUUUUACCAUCAAGUUUACACAAAUAGUUCUGUCCCCAGCUAAAACUUCCAAAUAAGCUUGAAACACCCACUGAUAUUUUUAAAACUUGAAAAUUAAUGUUUCAAUGAAAUAAAUGACAAAUAAAUAGAUAAUUAUAAUUAGUUGUCAUAACUCUAUU
Molecule: non-coding RNA, 323 nt
Organism: Cavia porcellus (domestic guinea pig)
Lineage: Eukaryota; Metazoa; Chordata; Mammalia; Rodentia; Caviidae
Rfam family: 7SK RNA
About the family: 7SK was discovered as an abundant small nuclear RNA in the mid-70s but a possible function has only recently been suggested. Two independent studies have found that 7SK RNA binds the CDK9/cyclin T complex (known as elongation factor P-TEFb).
Source: Rfam